RNAcentral lists this ribosomal RNA (640 nucleotides) under uncultured bacterium. RNAcentral describes it as "bacterial SSU rRNA". It matches the Rfam family "Bacterial small subunit ribosomal RNA", at positions 232 to 885 of the family's 1533-position model. The record is from RNAcentral.
CGCGGCCUAUCAGCUUGUUGGUGAGGUAACGGCUCACCAAGGCAAUGACGGGUAGCUGGUCUGAGAGGACGAUCAGCCACACUGGAACUGAGAUACGGUCCAGACUCCUACGGGAGGCAGCAGGAGGGGAUCUUGCGCAAUGGGCGAAAGCCUGGCGCAGCGACGCCGCGUGGGGGAUGAAUGCCUUAGGGUUGUAAACCCCUUUCACGAGGGAAGAAACUGACGGUACCUCGAGAAGAAGCCCCGGCCAACUACGUGCCAGCAGCCGCGGUAAUACGUAGGGGGCGAGCGUUGUCCGGAUUUAUUGGGCGUAAAGGGCUCGUAGGCGGCUUGGCAAGUCGGCCGUGAAAACCCAGGGCUCAACUCUGGGACGCCGGUCGAUACUGCCAUGGCUAGGGUCCGGUAGAGGGGAAUGGAAUUCCCGGUGUAGCGGUGAAAUGCGCAGAUAUCGGGAGGAACACCAGUAGCGAAGGCGGUUCCCUGGGCCGGCACCGACGCUGAGGAGCGAAAGCGUGGGGAGCAAACAGGAUUAGAUACCCUGGUAGUCCACGCCGUAAACGUUGGGUACUAGGCGUGGCGUCUUAUCAACGGAUGCCGUGCUCGAAGCUAACGCGUUAAGUACCCCGCCUGGGGAGUACGG